This 279-nucleotide ribosomal RNA is filed under the name uncultured bacterium. RNAcentral describes it as "partial 16S ribosomal RNA". It matches the Rfam family "Bacterial small subunit ribosomal RNA", at positions 506 to 784 of the family's 1533-position model. The record is from RNAcentral.
UGCCAGCCGCCGCGGUAAUACGGAGGGUGCGAGCGUUAAUCGGAAUUACUGGGCGUAAAGAGCACGCAGGCGGUUUAGUAAGCGGGAUGUGAAAGCCCUGGGCUCAACCUGGGAACUGCAUUCCGAACUGCUGGGCUAGGGUACAGAAGAGGGCAGUGGAAUUCCUGGUGUAGCGGUGAAAUGCGUAGAUAUCAGGAGGAACAUCAGUGGCGAAGGCGGCCGUCUGGUCUGAUACUGACGCUGAGGUGCGAAAGCGUGGGGAGCAAACAGGAUUAGAUA